Molecule: RNA transcript, 557 nt
Organism: Cercocebus atys (sooty mangabey)
Lineage: Eukaryota; Metazoa; Chordata; Mammalia; Primates; Cercopithecidae
Gene name: T-cell receptor alpha chain V region 2B4-like
Exons: 2
Source: RefSeq, a predicted model, not a curated record
GUUUCAAGGACAUUUAUAGGAGCUGGUCUCUGAUUGGCUAGGCGACCAGAUGCAGAAUCCUGUUUUCUGAAGCAGAAUACUUCCACAGAUUUUGACUGCAAAACGUUUUCUGCUGAGGGUAUGUGAGCAGGAAACAUGGAGAAGAAUCCUUUGGCAGCCCCAUUACUUCUCUGGCUUCAAUCUUGACUGCGUGAGCAGCAUCCUGAACGUGGAACAAAGUCCCCGUCCACUGCAUGUUCAGGUGGGAGACAGACACCAACUUCACCUGCAGCUUCCCUUCCAGAAUUUUUAUGUCUUGCACUGGUCAGAUUGGAAACUGCAAAAAUCCCCAAGGCCUUGUUUGUAAUGACUUUAAAUGGGGGAUGAAAAGAAGAAAGGACGAGUAAGUGUCACUCUUAAUACCAAGGAGGGUUACAGCUAUUUGUACAUCAAAGGAUCCCGCCUGAAGACUCAGCACAUACCUCUGUGCCUUUGCACAGUGCUGUUCAGGCACCUGCAGCCCAUACGCAAACCUGGUCUGGUGUUGCACUAUUACCAGCAUUGGCAAAGAACCAUAG